RNAcentral lists this long non-coding RNA (1851 nucleotides) under Homo sapiens (human). Its description in RNAcentral is "non-protein coding LINC01533:9". Lineage: Eukaryota; Metazoa; Chordata; Mammalia; Primates; Hominidae. The record is from RNAcentral.
UUAUUAAGCAUUGCCCUGGCCUAAGACACCACAUGGGUCAUUUCUUCCAGGCUCCAACUUGCUUCUGCUUUGCCAUAUGGUAACACGCCGUAUUAUGGAAGCACCAUCAUUACCGCCAUUUGCAGGGGAAGCCUAAAGAGAUAAAUGCCAGCCAGCAUCCCUGUCUCUGGGGCCCUGGAGAGGCCUUCAACACACCUGGCCUCACUGCCCUGUGGCUUCAACAAAGAGGCCGAGCAUCUCCUAUAAACCUUGAGGUCCAUGGAUGACAUAGCGGAAUGAUGGAUUUCAGAAAAGCACACUGCUGUUACGACUCCAGAACCGAUAAGGAAGCUAUGUGUGGAAGUAUGAGCUCAGGUCGCCUUCUGACCCUCUGUGACGGUCUAUUUCAGGCAGUUAUGGAUAGAUAACAUUACAGACACUGGUAAUUAAAACAACACUAAUUUUGUCUCUGUGGUCACGCUUUGUUGUUAGAAGCCAUCUAUCAUGGCCUUCACGCAUCACGCAAUGAGAAGACAUUUGUCUACGUACAUUGUGCUUGGUCAACGGUUUUACGGAUUUCCCCGCGUACCUGGACACCCAGGCACUUUUAAAGACGUACUGCCUUCAUUUCUACUCUAUUACUCUGAUUAAUAAAACAUUUUGCAUGCUUCAUCAAAACACCCUGCAAGCUUUUCACCACAUAUAUUCAUGGGGGGGGAAGCAAUGUUAAUUUCUUUCCCUUUUAGAAAGAAACUAACAACAACAACAACAAAAGAAAUUCUCUUUUGGAUUGGAAGAGAGAAAGAAAAAUUCAAAUAUGGAAAUAUUUGUCUUCCCUGUAAAACAGAGUCCAGCCUAAUGAAAAGCAUAAUAUUAAAACACACACACAAUGCCAAGCAUCUCCUUUAAGGCUACACGUAUUUUUGACUAUAUGUAUCGUUAGUUCUUUUCUGUGCAUUCAUUUGCUUGAUUUAUGGACACUCAAUUUCACUUCACCUUUUAUUACAAGAUCUACAGUUACAUUAAGAGUAAUAGCAAGUCAAAUGUUUUUAUAUUUGGGCAAUUAAAAAAAAAGAAAAGAUCUAUUCCUUGGGCCCUUAUAAGAAAUUAGGGAUAGCUGAAAUGCAAGAUGACUAGUUUAGUUCUGUUGUAAUCAACUAAGAAGAAACUGUAAUGGUGCAUUUCAAGGGAUCUUUAACAAGUGACACAAACAAGAGAAGAAGCAGACAGGACCAUUUAACUUCAAACUCCACCGAAGAGAGCUGAAUUGUAAGCUUCCUACAGCAAGCCCGGCUGGCGGCUAUGUGGCAGUCUUCAUUUCUCAGCGGAAAAGCCACUCCCUUGAGACUCUCCAGGCACCCCCCAACCGCAUUUUUUAUCAAGUGUCUAAAAGACACAAUGAACAAAAACCAGAGCUUUUGAAUACAGAUUUCCAGUAAAACCAAACCCAGCUUGGGUCAGAUGCACCUUUCCAGCAACCACCAUCUCAGCAACAACCUGCCAGCUGUCAACUGGAAGUUCAGCUUCUGGGAACUUCAGCCCCCUUCUCAGAGGAGCAAGGUCCUAGCACCAACAGCACCUGCAGUGGAGCCCAAGUAUGGCUGCUUCAUGGAGAAGAUAUUGAAAUGUGAUCACUGAGGCUCAGUGGGAAUCCCUUUGCUCUCAAACUCCCCGAUGCAAUGCCUUCUGAUUUCAACAGAAAAGCAAGAGGCUCCAGGCACCCCAUUCAGGGACUGCCACCAAAGUACCCGCAAAUCCUUCAUGAAAGGGGAGACAUUGACACAUUCUUUUUUUAUUCUCUGGUAGGUAUCUGUUUGCGUGCAAAUCCGUGAGUGCUUGCAUCUCGUGUAUUUGAAAAUCCUGUUUAAGAAU